GGGUUGUGAGGUUAAGCGACUAAGCGUACACGGUGGAUGCCACAGCAGUCAGAGGCGAUGAAGGACGUGCUGAAUCUGCGAUAGCGUCGGUAGGUGAUAUGAACCGUUAUAACCGGCGAUUUCCGAAUGGGAAACCCAGUGUGAUUCGUCACACUAUGCAUUAACGAUCCAUAGGUUAAUGAGGCGAACCGGGGGAACUGAAACAUCUAAGUACCCCGAGGAAAGAAAUCAACCGAGAUUCCCCAGUAGCGGCGAGCGAACGAGGGCAGCCCAGAGCCUGAAUCGGUGUGUGUGUGUUAGUGGAAGCGUCUGGAAAGGCGCGCGCGAUACAGAGCAGCCCCGUACACAAAAAUGCACAUGCUGUGAGCUCGAUAGUAGGGCGGGACACGUGGUAUCCUGUCUGAAUAUGGGGGACCAUCCUCAAGGCUAAAUACUCCUGACUGACCGAUAGUGAACCAGUACCGUGAGGGAAAGGCGAAAAGAACCCCGGCGAGGGAGUGAAAAAGAACCUGAAACCGUGGCCGUACAAGCAGUGGGAGCACGCUUAGGCGUGUGACUGCGUACCUUUUGUAUAAUGGGUCAGCGACUUAUAUUCUGUAGCAAGGUUAACCGAAUAGGGAGCCGAAGGGAAGCCGAGUCUUAACUGGGCGUUAGAGAUUGCAAAAUUUAUAGACGAAACCCGGUGAUCUAGCCAUGGGCAGGUUGAAGUUGGGUAACACUAAUGGAGGACCGAACCGACUAAUGUUGAAAAAUUAGCGGAUGACUUGUGGCGCGGGGUGAAAGGCCAAUCAAACCGGGAGAUAGCUGGUUCUCCCCGAAAGCUUCGUAGGUAGCGCCUCGUGAAUUCAUCUCCGGGGGUAGAGCACUGUUUCGGCAGGGGUCCUCCCGACUUACCAACCCGAUGCAAACUGCGAAUACCGGAGUAUUAUCUGGGAGACACACGGCAGUGUAACGUCCGUCGUGAAGAGGAAAACAACCCAGACCGCCAGCUAAGGUCCCAAAGUGUGGUUAAGUGGGAAACGAUGUGGGAAGGCCCAGACUGGCGAGGAUGUUGGCUUAAGCAGCCAUCAUUUAAAGAAAGCGUAAUAGCUCACUGGUCGAGUCGGCCUGCGCGGAAGAUGUAACGGGGGCUAAACCAUGCACCGAAGCUGCGGCAGCGACGCUGAUGCGUUGUUGGUAGGGAGCGUUCUGUAAGCCUGCGAAGGUGUGCUGUGAGGCAUGCUGGAGGUAUCAAGUGCGAAUGCUGACAUAAGUAACGAUAAAGCGGGUGAAAAGCCCGCUCGCCGGAAGACCAGGGUUUCCUGUCCAGCAUGUGGGGCGGGGUGAGUCGACCCCUAGGCGAGGCCGAAAGGCGUAGAUCGAUGGGAAACAGGUUAAUAUUCCUGGCCGCGGGUAUUUACUGCGAAGGGGACGAAGGCUAUGUUAUUGGGCGACGGUUGUCCCAGUUUUAAGCGUGUGAAGCUGGUUUUCGGGCAAAUCCGGAAAAAUCAAGGCUGAGGCGUGAUGACGAGAACUACGGUGCUGAAGCAACAAAUGCCCACUGCUUCAAGGAAAGCCUCUAAGCAUCAGGUAACAUCAAAUCGUACCCCAAACCGACACAGGUGGUCGGGUAGAAUACCAAGGCGCUUGAGAGAGAACUCGGGUGAAGGAACUAGGCAAAAUGGUGCCGUAACUUCGGGAGGAAAGGCACCUUUGAUAUGUAGGUGAAGUCCCUCGCGGAUGGAGCGGCUGAAAUCGUCGAGAAGGCGCCAGCUGGCUGCAACUGUUUAUUAAAACACAGCACUGUGCAAGCCUGAAAGUGGACGUAUACGGUGUGACGCCUGCCCGGUGCGGAAGGUUGCAUUGAUGCCAGGUUAGCGCAAGCGAGAAAGCUCUUGAUCGAAGCCCCGGUAAACGGCGGCCGUAACUAUAACGGUCCUAAAGGUAGCGAAAUUCCUUGUCGGGUAAGUUCCGACCUGCGAAUGGCGUAAUGAUGGCGGGCACAAUACGAGACUCGGUGAAAUUGAACUCGCUGUGAAGAUGCAGUGUACCCGCGGCAGACGGAAAGACCCCGUGAACCUUUACUAUAGCUUGACACUGAACAUUGAGCCUUGAUGUGUGUAGGAUAGGUGGGAGGCUUUGAAGUGUGGACGCCAGUCUGCAUGGAGCAACGCCCGAAAUAUACCCUUUAAUGUUUGAUGUUCUAACGUUGACCCGUAAUCCGGGUUGCGGACAGUGUCUGGUGGGUAGUUUGACUGGGGGCGGUCUCUCUAAAGAGUAACGGAGGAGCACGAAAGUUGGCCUAAUCUGGUCGGACAUCAGGAGGUGGUGCAAUGGCAUAAGCCGAAGCGACUGCGAGCACGUGACGGCGCGAGCAGGUGCGAAAGCAGGUCAUAGUGAUCCGGUGGUUCUGAAUGGAAGGAGGCCAUCGCUCAGCAAUUAAAAGGUACUCCGGGGAUAACAGGCUGAUACCGCCCAAGAGUUCCUUAUCGACGGCGGUGUUUGGCACCUCGAUGUCGGCUCAUCACAUCCACGGGGCUGAAGUAGGUCCCAAGGGUAUGGCUGUUCGCCAUUUAAAGUGGUACGCGACUGGGUUUAGAACGUCGUGAAGACAGUUCGGUCCCUAUGCCGUGGGCGCUGGAGAGGUGAAGGGGGGCUGCUCCUAGUACCUUGAGAGGACCGGAGUGGACGCAUCACUGGUGUUCGGUUGUCAUGCCAAUGGCACUGCGAAGUAGCUAAAUGCGGAAGAGAUAAGUGCUGAAAACAUCUAAGCACGAAACUUGCCCCGAGAUGAGUUCUCUGACUCCUUGAGGUCCUGAAGGAACGUUGAAGACGACGACGUUGAUAGGCCGGGUGUGUAAGCGCAGCGAUGCGUUGAGCUAACCGGUACUAAUGAACCGUGAGGCUUAACCUUACAACGCCGAAGGUGUUU
This 2911-nucleotide ribosomal RNA is filed under the name Escherichia coli. RNAcentral describes it as "23S ribosomal RNA". It matches the Rfam family "Bacterial large subunit ribosomal RNA". Lineage: Bacteria; Pseudomonadati; Pseudomonadota; Gammaproteobacteria; Enterobacterales; Enterobacteriaceae. The record is from RNAcentral.